AUGGCUGGGAGGAGCACGUGGGUAAAGUCGGUUAUCACUUCGCAGGCCAUCCACCACCUCACUUCGCUUGUGGUGCCCAAAGGAAUGAUGGUGUCCAUCGUCAAGCUGCAGCGAGCUUUUCUUUGGGGAGGCACGGAUAAAGUUUCUGGAGGUAAAUGUAAGAUAAGAUGGGAGAAAGUUUGUACGCCCAAGGGCAUGGGCGGCCUAGGCAUCCUGGACAUGGAAAAAUUUGCACGUGCCUUACGGCUCAGAUGGCCUUGGUUGGUUUGGAAGGACGCGGAAAGAGCUUGGGUUGAUUUG
RNAcentral lists this ribosomal RNA (300 nucleotides) under Triticum aestivum (bread wheat). RNAcentral describes it as "partial small subunit ribosomal RNA". The record is from RNAcentral. Lineage: Eukaryota; Viridiplantae; Streptophyta; Magnoliopsida; Poales; Poaceae.